GGAAGGAUCAUUAGCAAAAUUUCAACGUUACUUUCAUUUCGUUAGAAAUCCACACUGCGUACCUUUACCUGUUGCUUCCCCCCCGGGCUCGCGCCCCGGGGGGGAGGGACCCGCAAACGCUUUGUUUUCAAUGUAGUCGGUCUGAACAACAAACGCGACAGAAAUGUCGUGACGAAAAAAGAAAACAAAAACUUUCAACAACGGAUCUCUUGGUUCUCCCAUCGAUGAAGAACGCAGCGAAAUGCGAUAAGUAGUGUGAAUUGCAGAAUUCAGUGAAUCAUCGAAUCUUUGAACGCACAUUGCGCCCCCUGGUAUUCCGGGGGGCAUGCCUGUCCGAGCGUCAUGAAACCUCCUCGGGCCUUGGUCGCCUGACGGCCAAGGUCCGGUCUUGGGUCCGAGGGGACCGUCAAUGGGACCCUCUUCCCGCAAUCCAGUGGCGGACGUGCCACGGGCCAGUAGCGUGAUGAGCACCUCAAACGCGACUCCCGCCGGCAAGGUCCUGCCAGAACCCCCUCCCAGGGAAUAAAUCU
This 530-nucleotide ribosomal RNA is filed under the name uncultured Sarcoscyphaceae. RNAcentral's name for it is "eukaryotic LSU rRNA". The stretch from base 190 to 343 matches the Rfam family "5.8S ribosomal RNA". The record is from RNAcentral. Lineage: Eukaryota; Fungi; Ascomycota; Pezizomycetes; Pezizales; Sarcoscyphaceae.